Molecule: long non-coding RNA, 10443 nt
Filed under: Sorghum bicolor (sorghum)
Lineage: Eukaryota; Viridiplantae; Streptophyta; Magnoliopsida; Poales; Poaceae
Description: long non-coding RNA (SBIC_LNC007877)
Source: RNAcentral
UCAAGAAACCAUUAAUCUCUCACUGAAGAAGAGAUUAGCUAGAUUAUAUUCAUGGCGCUACUCAAGACAAGCUCCAAGAGUACUCUAGUUUUCACCAUCACAUGGCUCCUAAUUGCACUUGUUGCUACGACUGAAGAUGGUGACACUACUCUAGAUAAGCUCGGAGGACUCUGCGAGAAAGUAGCAAAAGGUCCAUGUACAGAAAAGGGGUGUGGCUCAAUGUGCGCCGUCAUAGGCUUUAAUGGUAUCGGGAACUGCAACGGUCCCUACUGCUGCUGCAACCCAAAAUCCUCCAGGCACAUCGGUGUCCCCUAGCUAGGAACUAGCUUUCAAUUCCUUUUCGAUCUAUCCAAUGUUUGUUAGAACAUUUUUCAUUAAUGAACAAAUAAUAUAUGGUGCGUACGUGAUUGCUACAUGCAUGUCAAGAUGCCAUAUGACCAUUUCCAAUAAUCUUAGAAUAGUCUUUGAUAAGAAAAAUACAACACAUUCUCAAUUUUUGGUAGGCUUGAGGUUCAUACACCUCUUGUUGUCUUUCCUACUCCAUGGCAAUAUAUUUAUGGUGUGUUUGGUUGUGGAGUUGCCUCAUGAUUCAUGUGGUGAUGCAUCAUGAGUUCAUCCCGUUUGGGUGGAAUUAACUCAUUUCUCAUGUAUAUACUAAUUAUUAGCUUAAGAAAGGGGAUGGUGAUGGAUCAACUCAUUUCAUUCCACAAACCAAAUACAAAAAGUAAGAAGUGAGAAAAAAUGGACCACCUCAUUCCUCAAACCAAACACACUAUAAACUAGCAAGUGGCCAAGUUUCCUUCCCUACCAUUUAAGUUGCGUACAAAAAUAUACAACUUUUCCACUAAAUACAUUUUUCACUAUUUCUUAUCCAAGAUCUAGAACACCCCCUAAUUGUACUAAAUAAGUCAAAAUAAGCCAAAAGCAAGAUCCAAGGUGCUCUAAAAAUUGUACUAAAUAAAAGUAGGUACUUCUAAAAAAUAGCUUAUGAAUUCACCCAUUUGGUUGGCUCUCUACUCUUUAGCAGAAGAAGCACUUUCUAGGAAUUGGACUGAAUGCAGCCUGAGUCAUCCUCCUCAUCACAUUGUUUUGUCCUAUUGGCCACAUUACUGCUAUUGUCGACUUUGCUCUCAUUCUCGGCAACACGGCACACACUGCCUAUACUCCUCCUCAUUGACAUGCCAUAGCCACUGCCAUCGUCUUGAUGGAUGCUAUGUGAGGCAGACAAACAAGUCAUGUGUUUGGUCUUGUGUGAUUCUUGGAGAUUGAUAGAUCAAAGGGGGUGAGGCCAUGGGGCACAAAGAGGGUGGAACAACAAUGUGUGCAGAGGCACCAAAGAGUCCACUUAUUGGUGACAAAAAACACUCUAGGCAGGGCAAUCUAGUAAUGCAGAAAUGCUAAACCUUUGUUCUUUUUAGGCCAGUCUCAAUGAGGAGUUUCAUAUUCUAGUUUCCAGCACAUCUGAUUUUGGAAACAGUGCAGAAGAGUUUCAUACGGAUGAAACUCUCUCUGCUCCCAUAAAACUCUUACCACCUCUCACUUCAUUAAUACAGUGCCACAUCAGCAUAUUUAAUACCCAUGAAACUCUGAUGAAAAUCACAUUUAGACUAGCCUUAGGAGUAGAUUUAUAGAACAUGAACAAACUAUUUCUAUAGUAGUGUUCCAAGUUGGCCAUUGACCUUCAUUAAGUAACAUGUAAUCACUAUAACAAAACCACAAAACACUGUCAGUCUCAAGUUCGCCAUCACUGUCAGUUAUGCCAACUAGACAAGCAGCAAUUGUAGCAUUGACUAUCUUUGCUGGUUGAACUGUAAGCUACAAUCCAGUAGUAUUACCUAUUUCACAAAAUAAAAAAAUAUAAAUAGCCCACCUGCACACUGUGCCCACCACAACCAUGCACUACCAAGUCUGCCACCUGUCGCACUUGUCGUUGAUGGCUACUAGGUCAUAGACUGCCAUGCUCGUUGUCAUUGGGUGUUAUGCCGCACACCCCGCCUUGUUUCUAUUGCAACCACAGCCACCUCCAUUGUGCCAUAGUGCCGCCCAUGCAUUGAAGCCACAGAGCAGUCUGUCGCCCAUAGCCACACCAUGCGCCAAGCAUUGCCAUUGCCUCCCAUGCAAUUCCAACCGCCACCCGCCCCGCUCCCACAGCAGCCAUGCCAUGUGCCCACAACAUUUGUCAUCAUCAGAGAGGGUACAAGGGGGGCUAGUGAGGCAGAUAGGGAAGAUAGGAUGCUGCACGACAAAGGGGAGAGGGAGUGCAGAUCAGUUGAGGGGGAGGGGGAGAGAGGUAUGGGGAAAACAGGUCAGGCAAAGGCUUGGAUCAAAUUCUGGGUCUAUUGUCCUGAUCACUCGGCUAGCAAAUUUGAAAAUCCAACAAUGAUACUACUAGUGUUGGUUUUUAACUACAACAACUGAUAGUUAUAUUUUUUUCUUGAAUACAUAGGAGAUUUGCAUAUCAUUGCAUUGUAGAGAGAAAAGGAUCGACCCCUUACAAACACCACCACCUCACUCUGGACCAGGCUAUGAGUCAUUAUUUCCUUACAUCAAAAAACUUAAACUAAAAGAACUAAGAAAGGGGUGAUCCCUUACAACAAAAACACCAUCCAGCUAAACUAAGGUAGGGUAUCCAAGCCCAACACCAUGACCUAGACCAAGCAUGCACAAGCCGCGCGCACCCACCAAACACCAAAGGUGAUGCUCGCCUCUGAACUCUUUGAGAAGCCUAGUAAUCGAGGGGUGAGACCCUUAAAGAAACAAGCAUUAUGGUGCUUCCAAAGGAUCUAGGAACUUAGAAUGAUAAUUAUGUUCAACCCCUUCUUCUCCUUUGGAAUUCUCUUGGUUACUUUUCACCACCAAUCAGCCUGUGAUUUUUCUUGCCUUAUGGGAGUCUGAUCUUGUAGUCCUAAAGGAGUCAAGAUCCGUGACCAAAAUUCUCAAGCGAGGACACAUGUAGUAGUAAGUAGAUGCUGGACUGUCUCAUCUUCCUAAGCACACAAGGGGUAGUGGCUCGGAUGAGGUAAACCUCUCUUGGAUAAUCGGUCUGCCGUCCAGCACCUAUUUUGGAUUGCUAACCAUAAAAAUAAUUUGCACUUUACUGGUGCCCAGGAUUUCCAUAGACAUCGCCAAGGCACAAACUUGAUGGAGCCAUUGAAGAAUGCUCAAUAUAUGCAGAUUUUGAGCUAAGCUGGCCUGACCCUUCCAGUCUCGAAAUAUUGACAUUGUCAUCCUGAGAGAGGGUUGUCUCAUGCAGAAUCUCCCAUAAUUGAAAAUAUUCAAAGAGACCCACCAAUGAGUGACCCCACGUCAGUAGGCCAAGUAUGAUUCUAGAGGGUGUCAGCCAUCGUGCGUUGUUUGCAAGUAUGAGAUGGAACUGCAGCAACUACCGCUGGUGCCAAGUCCAUCAAACAACAACCCAUGAGCCACUUAUCCUUCCAAAAUAAAGUAUUUCUUCCAUUACUAACCUUAAAUUCCAAUGCAAUUUUGAAAAGAGCUACAACAUUUGGACAAAUAUGUAUGACAUUAAGGCCAGUCCAUGCUCGAUUGCGAUCUGUUUUCUUGAACCAUAGCCAACAGAUUUGAAGUGCCCAACUCAUGAACUCAAGGUUCAAUAUCCCAAGUCCGCCCAAAUCAAGGGGUCACUAGACCUUACCCCAAGCAACCACGCAAGCACCACCAUACACUUGGCCUCUCCCUUUCCACACAAAGGCUCUUCUUAUCUUAUCAAUGGUCAUAAAAAACAUUUGGGCACCUUAAUCGCUAUCAAGACAUAGAUAGGAAUAACUGAAAGGACGAAGCAGACCCAAGUAACUCUCCCAGCCAUGUUCAUGAGAGCAGCAUUCCACUAGGGAGUUUGUCAGUAAUCUUCUCAAUCCAUUUGAGUAGCUCUGCCUUUCCUAUUUUUCUAGUUGAGACUGGUAGACCCAAAGAAGUGCAAGGGAAGUCUACUAGCGCACAUGGAAGAGUAGAUGUCACAGGCUCCAUUUGUGUCGACUCACAUCGAAUAGGUGUAACACAACUUUUUUUACAAAUUUGUUUGAAGACCAGAUGCCUCCCCAAACUUGUCUAGGAUGCUCACAGUGAGGUUCAUCUCUGCCUCUUGUGGCCAAGUGAAUAGGACAACAUCGUCAGCAUAAAGAGGGAUGCGCUGACUGGGACUUCCUCGAGACAGUGGUUGUAGCAGCUCCAAAUCUCCCGCCUUGGAAAAUAAACUAUUGAGCACGUCCAUCAUGAGAAUAAACAACAUCAGGGGAGAAGGGGUCAACUUGUUGAAAACCUCACUGGUGUCUAAUUUCUGGACCUGGUUCACCAUUAAGAAGCACCCUAGCGAAGGUCGUGGAAAGCAAGUUAGCAACAAGGUUAUAGCAAAGUUGACCGAAACCCAAAUGAGUGAGGACUUCUAGUAAAAAGGACCAAGAUUCUGAGUCGAAAGCUUUAGAAAUAUCUAGCUUUAGAAAGAGGCUCGAGACUUGUCAAUGAUGGAGGAGUUUAAUUGUUUGCUGCACCAAUAUAUAGUUAUAAUGAAUACACCAUCCUCGAACGAAAGCACUUUGGUUAGCAGCUACCAAAUCAUUUAAUAGAGGAGCCAAACGGUUUGCCAUGAUUUUUGUCACUAGCUUCGCAAAGCUAUGGAUGAGGCUUAUCGGACAAAAAUCCUUGGGAUGCAGAGCCUCAGCUUUCUUUGGAAUAAGAGUGAGAUAUGCUGAAUUAAGAAGCCAUAAUUUACUUACAUCUCCCUGCAGUACCAUGAUGGCUACCAUGAAAUAUGCCUUUAUCAACUGCCAACAUGAUUUAAAGAACUGACCUGUAUAUCUAUCCAGACCGGGUGCUCUAUCCGCUAGCAAAGAUCACUACUACAAAAAAACUUAAUAGAGGCGGGCAAAAUCGAUUAACGGAGGCGGUCUUGCCAACCGCCUCCAAUGAAAGGUCACGAUUAAUCCAACCUUAACGGAGGCGGUUGGCUCCACUACCUUAGUUAAUCAAUUAUCCGAGGUGGUCGUUAUAACGCAACCACCUCGGUUAAUACCAUUAAUGGAGAUGGUUACACUAAGCAGCUGAUGAGGACAUGACACAUUCAGAUAUAACUAUUGAUUAUAAGGUGAGAUCAUUCAUAUAUUUAUAUAAUGAUUUUUGAUACAAUUCACUUGGUUCCACAUGUACAUGUCACUAUUUGAUUGUAGCGCAUGUACAUGUCACUAUUUGAUUGUAGAUUCAAAUAUUUCUCAAAGUGCAAGUCAUCAAAGUUGAACUUUCGAUACGUCGGCAGUCUCAUAGUUCUUUAUUGGGAAGGCCAUAACUCAUCCAUCCGGAAUGAGAUUGAGGUCAAUGAGCACUUGAUAGAAAGCUUGUUUGAUAAGCUUUCGAAUAGAUCCAGUUCUACCUCAAUAUCACAUCGGCUAGGCUUUCAAAUUGUUAUUAUAUUCUAUCGCUGUUUCUGCCAAGAGCUACUUUAUCAUCAUGGACAUGUUUUUUAUCCUUUGGACCCUAGCCCAAGUGGGAGCACAUCCCAAGGAGAAGAAGAAGCCACCAAGGGAGCCCUCGGACGUCCUCCUCCUUGGCCACCAUCUGAAAAGGUCAGCAAGGUCCUUCAUGCCAAGUCAGAGGCCCAAUCCAUAUCAUGUUCGAGUCCAUCUCAUUCUCCAGGACCACCAUGUAGUAAAACGGAUGCCCAGAACACAACCGGACUUCGUUUUUGAUGAUCCACAUAUGGAUGGAAAGAUAAUUUCAUAAGCUAACCAAUGGCUUUAGUUUGAGGCCCAAAUUCUAUCGGAGUAAACAGGAAUCGUUGAAACAAGUUGACGUCCAGAAUCUGUCACGGCGUUGCGUUGCCGUUUAUUUGGGCUGUUGGGCCUUGUAACGUGUUAGGGCACCGAUCUUCCGAAAGGUUCUGGUAACUCUCGAUUUGGUGGAAAUGAGACACAAAUCAAUUCGGCUUCCGAACAACACGAUCUGAAACCCUACAAUCGCAUCACCACAUCUCCUCUGGUUAUCAACCGGCGCUGCGCGGUGGACCUCACCAAGAAGGCUAAGUCCUUUGCCUGCGAAUCGAAGAACACAAGCAAGAACAAGGAAGAAUGCAAACAAUUUGCAGAUGAAAGAUUAAUCUCACGAUUUGGGGUCUCACAAACGGAUAACAGUGAAACUGUUCUUAAGAGAAUAAUCUAAGCAAAACCCAAACCCUAAUAUAGGUGGCAGCUUCUAAUUAUAUAGCCUAAGGGACGUCUAAGGACCCCUCUUCAUGUCCAUAAGGUUCCCUAACACGUUACAAGGCCGAACAGCCCAAAAGACAGCGACGCAGCGCCCCGACAGAUUCUGAACGUCAACUUGUUUCGACGAUUCCCAUUGACUCCGAUGGAAUUUGGGCCUCAAACCAAAGCCAUUGGUUAGCUUAUGAAAUUAUCUUUCCAUCUAUAUGUGGAUCAUCAAAAAAAAGGAGUCCAGAUGUGUUCUGGGCAUCCAUUUUACUGCAUGCUGGUCCUGGAGCCCGAGAUGGACUCGAACUUGAUAUGGAUUAGGCCUCUGACUUGACUUGAACGACCUUGCUAACCUUUUAAGGUGGUGGCCAAGGAGGAGGACGUCCAAGGGCUUCCUUGGUGGCUUCUCCUUCUCCUUGGGAUAUGCUCCCACUUGGGCCAGGGUCCCAAAGAUAAUAAAAAACAUGCCCAUGAUGAUAAAGUAGCUCUCGACAGAAACAACGAUAGAAUAUAAUAACAAUUUUAACACCUUGCCGAUGUGAUAUUGAGGUGGAACCAGAUCUAUUCGAAAGCUUAUCAAACAAGCUUUCCAUCAAGUGCUCAUUGACCUCAAUCUCAUUCCAGAUGGAUGAGUUAUGGCCUUUCCAAUAAAGAACUAUCGAGCUGCUAACGUAUCGAAAGUUCAACUUUAAUGGACUUGCACUUUAAGACAUAUUUGGAUCUACAAUCAAAUAAUGACAUGUACAUGUGGAACCAAGUAAAUUCUACCAAAAAUCAUUAUAUAAAUAUAUAAAUGAUCUCACCUUAUAAUCAAUAGUUAUAUCCGAAUGUGUCAUGCCCUCAUGAGCAGCCUGCCUUGGUUAAUAGAUUAAAAAAUAAAAAACAUCAAGGAGCCCCACGAGCCCAUCCAUGAGGCCCACUGAGCCCAUCGACGCCUUGCGCCAUCGCUUGUUGGAUCUGCUACCACCCCGAGAAGCACUAUUGGGGCUGUACACCUACUUGCCAAGCAUCUGCUCGCCCUGAUAAGCACUGUUGGGGCCGCGCACCUUCUUGCCACGAGCCCAUCCAUGAGGGCCCUAGCUCGGGGCGCCGUCAUGAGCCGCUGUCGGGCACCGCACCAUCAUGAGCCAGGUUGUUGUCGUGAGCCACCACCAAAGGUGACAGAGCCGCUGCCAUGGGGGAUUGGCUCCUGCUCAAUGCGCCCUAACGAGCCACCGCCGAGACCGUGCACCUGCACGCCACACCCUAGGGAGCCGCUGCCAGGGCUAGGCCCCGCUCGCUAUGGUCUAGGGAGCUGCCGCAGGGGCUGAGCAGCUGUUGCCGAGGUGGAGGUGGAGGCGCUGCCGUGCUAGAGAUGGAGGUGAUUGGCUAGAGUUGGAGGUCGAGGGCUCGCCGGAGUUGAGGGAGAAGGGUCAGAGAGAGAGAGCGCACGCGUUGAGAGUGGGCACGACCUUCAUACGAGAGAGAGAGGAGCUGCUCGGGUGUUCAAAUAGGGGCAAGAUAUUUCUCAUUUCAUCUGGUGUUCUAUCCAUAUCUUGUAGGGUCCGCUCGUUAUACUCAAUGAGGAAGCACAAAAACAUCAAUGAUGGACAUGUCUCUACGCGGCGUCCUAUCCAGCCAUCCAUAAGUCCACGUCAACAAUUCGAGACUCCUGCACAGCUGUGCACGUACAGAACCCAGAAUGGACGAGCACGGUUUCCCAUGGGUGCAGUCUGUGUGCUAAAAUCUGUGUGGUCAGAUGUGUGGCAGUUAUUGUGUAUCCAUUGAUAUUGCGCCACAUGUUAGAGAUUUCUCAAAAUAGAAGGCACAUCCAGUGGUUUUUUGAAUCCAUGCAGGGAACCAUGCACAACAUACAGUCCAGACGUUGAUUUUUGGAAAGGUGUGUGGCAGAGAGGAAACAGGUAGGGCCAGGCGCACAUGGUGCACACUGAUUUGAUUUUUGGAAGUGGACGUCUAUAAUUUUACCGUGACAAUUACUUUUGACCGUCUCUAUUAAUCUAUUAACCGAGACGGUUGCAUUAGGACAACCGCCUCGGUCAGUAGGCAUUAACCGAGACAGUUUUUUUUUUAUAUUGUCACCUUGGUUAAUACAUUUUAGGAGGCGGGUAGUUCUAACCGCCUCGGUUAAUAAAAAAUAACCACAUCGGUUAAUCAGGGCAUUCACCGAGGCAGUUCAAAAAAUUGCUUGCCUUCGAGGCUGUUUUGGAAAGGUCACUGAAAAUAUUUUAUGUAGUAGUGGACUUUUAUUGUAUCCCACACUUCCUCUUAUGAAAUUGCUGCAUCCAAUGCCGAGAGAUCGACUCCCUCCCUAUGGAUGAAAUUGAGGUCAAGAGAAGCACGGUGCAAGGCAGAACCUAACAGACCAUCAAGAGUGUAGGCACGGGGCAAGGCAGAACCUAACAGGUCAAGAAAUCGACUCUCUCUGCUUGUCUUCUUGGCUGGUGACAACCUGGUACUUAAUUUUUUCCUUUUGCGGAAUCCUGCUUGCCCAUGGAAAAGAGCUGUGUUGGCAUUUCCAUCUUUCAAGAACCAGAUGUGUUACCGAAGGCAAGCGAUCAUCCUCUCAAGGGAAGCCAAAGAGCUACUCCCUCCGUCCCAAAUUAUAAGUCAUUCAAAGAAUCUUGGAGAGUCAGUUUUUCAAGUUUGACCAAAUUUAUAUAGCAAAAUAAUAAUAUUUUUGGUACCAACCAAAUAUCAUUAGAUUUUUGGUACCAACCAAGUAUCAUUAGAUUCUUUGUUAGUUAUAUUUUCAUAGUGUACCUAUUUUAUGACAUAAAUCUUUAUAUUUUUCUCUUUAUUUUUGGUCAAACUUGAAAAUGCUUUGAUUCUCAAAGAUUCUUGGAAUGACUUAUAAUUUGGAACGGAGGGAGUAUAUAUCAUUGUUGGUGGAUUUAUAAAACCGAUAGUGAUGCUCAUUCCCCUUAUAAACAGAUAUAUAACCACUGUCAAAUUUGAUGGAAGUGAUAAUACCAAGAGUGUUAUGCAUUUCUGAGUAGUGAAUGAUAAUGCUUUUACCAAUGUUUUGCAUAUGAAAUUUAGACUCUGGAUACAUAUGUGUUUGUGAUUAGGAAUGCUAAGACUGACUAGUUAGGAUCAGCAUCAUAUUUAGGGUCCAUUUGGUGGGGCUAUGGCUCUGGCUUCUCACAUGGAGCAGCUUCUCUGGUGGAGCUGAAGCCAUUUUAGUAAACAUUUGGCAAAAAUAGCUCUAGUGGUAGUUUUAUAAUAAUUUGUAUUAGAUUUGUGAAGGAGUCAAGCGAAGCCACAUUUGUGUGGCUUUGGCUCCUCUAGACAUAAAUGGCUUGGGCUUCUCGGGCUCAUUGCAAGAAACCGCUUUUAAUGGCCAAUUAACAAAGCUCCUUGUAAGGAGCCGUGAGAAACCGGAGCUAGAACCCUGCUAAAUCAGACCUUAAUUCUGCCAUAGUGAUAUAGUAGUAGCAUUAGCAACCAAUAAAUGCAUAUGAAAUUUGGACUCUAGAUAAAUAUUUGUGAUGAGGAAUGCUAAGAUUGACUGAUUAGGAUGAGGAUAAUAUUUGAUGCAGCCAUACUCAUAUAGGAGUAGUAUUAGCAGCCAACAAAUGCACCUAGAGACAUGAUACAUUAGUUAGCAGCGAAUAAAUGCAAACCUAUAUCAGAUAAGUGUGCACCAAAUGUUUUGGUUUCAAUAUGGUAGAAAUUGACUGUCUAUGAUUAAUUUGCUUGUGGCUUCGGUCUAUAUAAGGAAGGACCCCGGACCAUGAAAGAGCAUCAAGAAACCAUUGAUCUCUCAGUACAGAAGAGUAGUUUAGCUAGAUUCAUGGCGCUACUCAAGACAAUCUCCAAGGGUGCUCUGGUUUUUGCCGUCACAUGGCUCCUGAUUGCUGCAGUCCUUGCAGCAGCUGAAGAUGGUGCUACUCAAGUUAAUCUCGAAGGGGCCUGCGAGAAAGUAGCAAAAGGUCCCUGUACAGAUAAGGUGUGCGGCGGAAUGUGCGCCGUCGUAGGCUCCAGUGGUAAGGGGUCAUGCAACGGCCCCUACUGCUGUUGCAACCCAAAAUCCUCCAGGCACAUCGGUGUCCCCUAGCUAGGAACUAGCUUUCAUUUUUUGAUCCGCCUUAUGAUUGUUAGAACAUUUUUCAUUGAGAAAUAAAUAUGUAUGGUGCAUGCUUGUUACAUGCAUGCCAAGAUGCUAGAAAAUAUCAUUUGCAGUACAUCUUACAACAGUCUUUGGUCAAAAUACCACACAUUCUCAAUUUUUGAUACGUUUGAAGGUUCA